RNAcentral lists this ribosomal RNA (260 nucleotides) under uncultured prokaryote. RNAcentral's name for it is "partial 16S ribosomal RNA". It matches the Rfam family "Bacterial small subunit ribosomal RNA", at positions 917 to 1178 of the family's 1533-position model. The record is from RNAcentral.
GGACCCGCACAAGUAGCGGAGCAUGUGGUUUAAUUCGAAGCAACGCGAAGAACCUUACCUACACUUGACAUCCCUUGCAUUACUCUUAAUCGAGGAAAUCCCUUCGGGGACAAGGUGACAGGUGGUGCAUGGUUGUCGUCAGCUCGUGUCGUGAGAUGUUGGGUUAAGUCCCGCAACGAGCGCAACCCUUGUCGUUAGUUACUACCAUUAAGUUGAGGACUCUAGCGAGACUGCCUGGGUUAACCAGGAGGAAGGUGGGG